RNAcentral lists this long non-coding RNA (950 nucleotides) under Brachypodium distachyon (stiff brome). Its description in RNAcentral is "long non-coding RNA (BDIS_LNC001415)". The record is from RNAcentral. Lineage: Eukaryota; Viridiplantae; Streptophyta; Magnoliopsida; Poales; Poaceae.
CAGUAGGGAAGAAGAGGGAGAGAGAAGGGCGGGGAGGGAGGAAGAAUUGAAAGAGAGGGCGCGGGGUGGGAGGAAGAAGGGAGAGGCGCUGGAGAGAGAGGGGCGCUGGAGGUCGCCGGCGGCGGGCUGGGUAGGCGGCUGGAAGAUCUGCUGGUGGGGAAGAGGAGAAGCGAGAGAGAUAAGGCAGGAGGAAGAAAAGAUGCGCUGGGUGAGGGAGGAAGAAGGCAGACAGAGAUGUGCAGCUUGGAUGGUUCCACGUCAUCGAUUCGUGGCUCGGUCACGCGGAUCGGUGACGUGGCAAAUAUGCCUUUGCCGGAGGCCGGCCGCCGGCAAAGACAUAUUUUUUGUUUUUUUAAUGUGUAUACUUAGCAAAGACUUUUUUCAGUUUAUUUUUGUUAUUUUGACUUGUAAUUUUUAUCCCAUGUUUAGAUACCUAUAACAUGACACCAUGCCAAAACUUAUUAAUUUUUGGUAAAGUUUAGGUAUUAUUUCACUUUUGUCUAUUGAACGUCUCCAAUAAAUGAUAAGUAAUUAUUUUUACAUACAAGGUGUUAAUUUUGUUCAUUUUAAUUGACAUUCGUCAUCCCUAAUGCCAAGUGAAACCAAAGUAAAAAAACCAACUCAAAAAGGAAAAAUCUUAUGGCAAAAUUUGGUUUGGGACACAAAUUGGACGUUUGAGCGCUAAGUUCGGGAACUUAUACGAAGAUGUUGUAAUUUGUGAAGCAUGCACCAUUUUAAUUUUGUGUAUGGACCUGUAAUUUUUAUCCCAAGUUUAUAUACCCAUAAAAUGACACCAUGCCAAAAAUUGUUCUGUUUUGACAAAAUUUUAGUAUUAUUUCAUUUUUUCCUAUUAAACGGCUCUAGAAAUGAUAAGUAAUUAUUUUUACAUAAAAUGUGGUGAUUUUAAUUCAUAUUAGUAAUCAUUAAUGAAAAAUGAAACCACAGAAAAA